RNAcentral lists this ribosomal RNA (253 nucleotides) under uncultured bacterium. Its description in RNAcentral is "partial 16S ribosomal RNA". It matches the Rfam family "Bacterial small subunit ribosomal RNA", at positions 524 to 776 of the family's 1533-position model. The record is from RNAcentral.
UACGUAGGGUGCGAGCGUUGUCCGGAAUUAUUGGGCGUAAAGGGCUCGUAGGCGGUUUGUCGCGUCGGGAGUGAAAACCCAGGGCUUAACCCUGGGCUGGCUUCCGAUACGGGCAGACUAGAGGUAUGCAGGGGAGAACGGAAUUCCUGGUGUAGCGGUGAAAUGCGCAGAUAUCAGGAGGAACACCGGUGGCGAAGGCGGUUCUCUGGAUCGAUACUGACACUAAGACGCGAAAGCGUGGGUAGCAAACAGG